GAUGAACGCUGGCGGCGUGCUUAACACAUGCAAGUCGAACGGGAAACCUUUUAUUGAAGCUUCGGCAGAUUUAGCUGGUUUCUAAUGGCGGACGGGUGAGUAACGCGUGGGUAACCUGCCUUAUACAGGGGGAUAACAGUCAGAAAUGGCUGCUAAUACCGCAUAAGCGCACAGAGCUGCAUGGCUCAGUGUGAAAAACUCCGGUGGUAUAAGAUGGACCCGCGUUGGAUUAGCUGGUUGGUGGGGUAACGGCCCACCAAGGCGACGAUCCAUAGCCGGCCUGAGAGGGUGAACGGCCACAUUGGGACUGAGACACGGCCCAGACUCCUACGGGAGGCAGCAGUGGGGAAUAUUGCACAAUGGGGAAACCCUGAUGCAGCGACGCCGCGUGAAGGAAGAAGUAUCUCGGUAUGUAAACUUCUAUCAGCAGGGAAGAUAAUGACGGUACCUGACUAAGAAGCCCCGGCUAACUACGUG
Molecule: ribosomal RNA, 477 nt
Filed under: uncultured bacterium
Lineage: Bacteria
Description: partial 16S ribosomal RNA
Rfam family: Bacterial small subunit ribosomal RNA
Source: RNAcentral